UACGUAGGGUGCAAGCGUUAAUCGGAAUUACUGGGCGUAAAGCGUGCGCAGGCGGUGAUGUAAGACAGAUGUGAAAUCCCAGGGCUCAACCUUGGAACUGCAUUUGUGACUGCAUCGCUGGAGUGCGGCAGAGGGGGAUGGAAUUCCGCGUGUAGCAGUGAAAUGCGUAGAUAUGCGGAGGAACACCGAUGGCGAAGGCAGCCCCCUGGGCCAAUACUGACGCUCAUGCACGAAAGCGUGGGGAGCAAACAGG
Molecule: ribosomal RNA, 253 nt
Filed under: uncultured bacterium
Lineage: Bacteria
Description: partial 16S ribosomal RNA
Rfam family: Bacterial small subunit ribosomal RNA
Source: RNAcentral